UACGGAGGGCGCAAGCGUUAAUCGGAAUUACUGGGCGUAAAGCGCACGCAGGCGGUUUGUUAAGUCAGAUGUGAAAUCCCCGGGCUCAACCUGGGGACUGCAUUUGAAACUGGCAAGCUUGAGUCUUGUAGAGGGGGGUAGAAUUCCAGGUGUAGCAGUGAAAUGCGUAGAGAUCUGGAAGAAUACCGGUGGCGAAGGCGGCCCCCUGGACAAAGACUGACGCUCAGGUGCGAAAGCGUGGGGAGCAAACAGG
RNAcentral lists this ribosomal RNA (253 nucleotides) under uncultured bacterium. Its description in RNAcentral is "partial 16S ribosomal RNA". It matches the Rfam family "Bacterial small subunit ribosomal RNA", at positions 524 to 776 of the family's 1533-position model. The record is from RNAcentral.